RNAcentral lists this ribosomal RNA (499 nucleotides) under uncultured bacterium. Its description in RNAcentral is "partial 16S ribosomal RNA". It matches the Rfam family "Bacterial small subunit ribosomal RNA", at positions 28 to 507 of the family's 1533-position model. The record is from RNAcentral.
GAUGAACGCUGGCGGCGUGCCUAAUACAUGCAAGUCGAGCGAACAGACGAGAGUGCUUGCACUCUCUGACGUUAGCGGCGGACGGGUGAGUAACACGUGGGUAACCUACCUAUAAGACUGGGAUAACUUCGGGAAACCGGAGCUAAUACCGGAUAAUAUUUAGCUUCGCAUGAAGCAAUAGUGAAAGACGGUUCUGCUGUCACUUAUAGAUGGACCCGCGGUGUAUUAGCUAGUUGGUGAGGUAACGGCUCACCAAGGCAACGAUACAUAGCCGACCUGAGAGGGUGAUCGGCCACACUGGGACUGAGACACGGCCCAGGCUCCUACGGGAGGCAGCAGUAGGGAAUCUUCCGCAAUGGACGAAAGUCUGACGGAGCAAUGCCGCGUGAGUGAAGAAGGUUUUCGGAUCGUAAAACUCUGUUGUAAGGGAAGAACAAGUACGUUAGUAACUGAACGUACCUUGACGGUACCUUACAAGAAAGCCACGGCUAACUACGUG